RNAcentral lists this ribosomal RNA (800 nucleotides) under uncultured bacterium. RNAcentral describes it as "bacterial SSU rRNA". It matches the Rfam family "Bacterial small subunit ribosomal RNA", at positions 10 to 805 of the family's 1533-position model. The record is from RNAcentral.
AGUUUGAUCCUGGCUCAGAACGAACGCUGGCGGCGUGGAUAAGACAUGCAAGUCGUACGGGAUCAAGCCGGUAGGCAACUAUCGGGUUGAUUCAGUGGCGAACGGGUGAGUAACACGUGGGAAUCUGCCCGGAAGAGGGGGAUAGCCCGCCGAAAGGCGGAUUAAUACCGCAUAUAUUGAAAGCGGGGGACCGCAAGGCCUCGCGCUUCCGGAUGAGCCCGCGUCCUAUCAGCUAGUUGGUAGGGUAAUGGCCUACCAAGGCGAUGACGGGUAGCUGGUCUGAGAGGACGACCAGCCACACUGGGACUGAGACACGGCCCAGACACCUACGGGUGGCAGCAGUCGAGAAUUUUUCACAAUGGGGGAAACCCUGAUGGAGCGACGCCGCGUGGAGGAUGAAGGGCUUCGGCUUGUAAACUCCUGUCACCACAGACAAAUGCCGGGCGGUGAAUAAUCGUUCGGCUUGAUGGUAUGUGGAGAGGAAGGGACGGCUAACUCUGUGCCAGCAGCCGCGGUAAUACAGAGGUCCCAAGCGUUGUUCGGAUUUACUGGGCGUAAAGGGUGCGUAGGAGGUCUGGAAAGUCGGGUGUGAAAUCCCACCGCCUAACGGUGGAAUUGCGCUCGAAACUCCCAGACUCGAGGACCGGAGAGGAGAACGGAAUUCCUGGUGUAGCGGUGAAAUGCAUAGAUAUCAGGAGGAACACCAACGGCGAAGGCAGUUCUCUGGAAGGUUCCUGACUCUGAGGCACGAAGGCCAGGGGAGCAAACGGGAUUAGAUACCCCGGUAGUCCUGGCAGUAA